GACGAACGCUGGCGGCGUGCUUAACACAUGCAAGUCGAACGGAAAGGCGCUGCUUUUGCGGGGUGCUCGUAUGGCGAACGGGUGAGUAACACGUGAGUAACCUGCCCUUGACUUUGGGAUAACUUCAGGAAACUGGGGCUAUUACCGGAUAGGUGCUCCUGCUGCUUGGUGGGGUUUGGAAAGUUUCGGCGGUUGGGGAUGGAUUCGCGGCUUGUUAGCUUGUUGGUGGGGUAGUGGAUUACCCUGGCUUUGGCGGGUACCCGGCCUGAGAGGGUGACCGGCCAAAGUGGUACUGAGAUACGGCCCAGACUCCUACGGGCGGCAGCAGUGGGGAAGAUUGUGCAAUGGGCGGAAGCCUGAUGAAGCAACGCCGCGUUCGUGAUGACGUCCAUCGGGUUGUAAACCGCUUUCACCUGUGACGAAGCGUUAGUGACGGUAAUAGGUAAAUAAGCACCGGCUAACUUCGUG
This 468-nucleotide ribosomal RNA is filed under the name uncultured bacterium. Its description in RNAcentral is "partial 16S ribosomal RNA". It matches the Rfam family "Bacterial small subunit ribosomal RNA", at positions 28 to 507 of the family's 1533-position model. The record is from RNAcentral.